This 497-nucleotide ribosomal RNA is filed under the name uncultured bacterium. RNAcentral's name for it is "partial 16S ribosomal RNA". It matches the Rfam family "Bacterial small subunit ribosomal RNA", at positions 28 to 507 of the family's 1533-position model. The record is from RNAcentral.
GAUGAACGCUGGCGGCGUGCCUAAUACAUGCCAGUCGAGCGAAUAAAGGGGGAUUUUGCUCCUCUUAAGUGGCGGGCGGGCGGGUGAUUCCCACGAGUAUGCCUGGUAGUGGGGGCUAACAUCACUUAGCGAGCCCUGAUCCCGCACCGGAUCAGAUGUUGAAACGCAGGGUUCAUUAGAGAUCGACCUUUUAGCUGUCACUUAUUCGUAUAUCCUAGUCGCAUUAGCUAGUUGGUACGGUAACGGCUUACCAAGGCAACGAUGCGUAGCUGACCUGAGAGGGUGAUCGGCCACACUGGAACUGAGACACGGUCCAGACUCCUACGGGAGGCAGCAGUAGGGAAUCUUCGGCAAUGGGCGAAAGCCUGACGGAGCAACGCCGCGUGAGUGAUGAAGGUCUUCGGAUCGUAAAACUCUGUUAUUAGGGAGGAACAAAUGUGUAAGUAACUAUGCACGUCUUGACGUUACCUAAUCAGAAAGCCACGGCUAACUACGUG